This 833-nucleotide ribosomal RNA is filed under the name Sinomonas flava. Its description in RNAcentral is "bacterial SSU rRNA". It matches the Rfam family "Bacterial small subunit ribosomal RNA", at positions 83 to 923 of the family's 1533-position model. The record is from RNAcentral. Lineage: Bacteria; Bacillati; Actinomycetota; Actinomycetes; Micrococcales; Micrococcaceae.
CGGGGUGGAUUAGUGGCGAACGGGUGAGUAACACGUGAGCAACCUGCCCUUGACUCUGGGAUAAGCCUGGGAAACUGGGUCUAAUACCGGAUAGGACCUCCUGCCGCAUGGUGGGGGGUGGAAAGCCUUGUGCGGUCUUGGAUGGGCUCGCGGCCUAUCAGCUUGUUGGUGGGGUGAUGGCCUACCAAGGCGACGACGGGUAGCCGGCCUGAGAGGGUGACCGGCCACACUGGGACUGAGACACGGCCCAGACUCCUACGGGAGGCAGCAGUGGGGAAUAUUGCACAAUGGGCGCAAGCCUGAUGCAGCGACGCCGCGUGGGGGAUGACGGCCUUCGGGUUGUAAACCCCUUUCGGCAGGGAACAAGCCCCUUGGGGUGAGGGUACCUGCGGAAGAAGCGCCGGCUAACUACGUGCCAGCAGCCGCGGUAAUACGUAGGGCGCGAGCGUUAUCCGGAAUUAUUGGGCGUAAAGAGCUCGUAGGCGGUUUGUCGCGUCUGCUGUGAAAGCCCGGGGCUCAACCCCGGGUCUGCAGUGGGUACGGGCAGGCUGGAGUGCAGUAGGGGAGACUGGAAUUCCUGGUGUAGCGGUGAAAUGCGCAGAUAUCAGGAGGAACACCGAUGGCGAAGGCAGGUCUCUGGGCUGUAACUGACGCUGAGGAGCGAAAGCAUGGGGAGCGAACAGGAUUAGAUACCCUGGUAGUCCAUGCCGUAAACGUUGGGCACUAGGUGUGGGGGCCAUUCCACGGUUUCCGCGCCGCAGCUAACGCAUUAAGUGCCCCGCCUGGGGAGUACGGCCGCAAGGCUAAAACUCAAAGGAAUUGACGGGGGCCCG